GGACGAACGCUGGCGGCGUGCUUAACACAUGCAAGUCGAACGGUGAAGGGGUCUGCUUUUGUGGGCCCUGGAUGAGUGGCGAACGGGUGAGUAACACGUGAGUAACCUGCCCCCUUCUUCUGGAUAACCGCAUGAAAGUGUGGCUAAUACGGGAUAUUCUGGGUCUGUCGCAUGAUGGGUCUGGGAAAGAUUGCGCCUUUGGGUGUUUUUGGUGGGGGAUGGGCUCGCGGCCUAUCAGCUUGUUGGUGGGGUGAUGGCCUACCAAGGCGGUGACGGGUAGCCGGCCUGAGAGGGUGGACGGUCACACUGGGACUGAGACACGGCCCAGACUCCUACGGGAGGCAGCAGUGGGGAAUAUUGCACAAUGGGCGCAAGCCUGAUGCAGCGACGCCGCGUGAGGGAUGGAGGCCUUCGGGGUGUAAACCUCUUUCGCCAGUGAAGCAGGCCUGCUCCUUGUGGGUGGGUUGACGGUAGCUGGAUAAGAAGCGCCGGCUAACUACGCG
This 503-nucleotide ribosomal RNA is filed under the name uncultured bacterium. RNAcentral's name for it is "partial 16S ribosomal RNA". It matches the Rfam family "Bacterial small subunit ribosomal RNA", at positions 27 to 507 of the family's 1533-position model. The record is from RNAcentral.